CCCAGCAUCACCCCUCUCCUGACUUCUGACCCCCGAGGUUGCUGUGUUUGUGCUUGAUGUGAAGGAAUCCUGCUAUUUUGUGCUUGGUUCCUUUCUCCCAAUAUUGCAUGUGAGAUCAUCCGUAGUGUGUGUAGUGGUGGAUUGUCUGUCCUCGUGAUAUCGUAGUUCCCAGCUUAGGGCUAUUAUGGGUAGUCCUGCUAUGAAUAUUCUAGCAUGUGUCUUUGGUGAACAUAUGGAUGUGUUUCUUCUGGGUGUGUGACUAGGAAUAGCGUUGGUGGGUCACAGCGUAUGCCUGCGUUCAGCUUCAGUAGAUCCUGACCCACUUCUAAACGUGCCUAGCAGUGCUGGAGCCAUUUAUGGGCAUGUCAGCUGGCGGGGCUGCGAGCCUCCCUCCGUCGUAGCUCCCUUCUGUGAAUGGCCCCACGGGCAGCACAGGGAACAAUCCAACGAAAGAACCGAACCUGCCUUGGACAGCUAACUAACUGCGGUCUCAUUCUGUUUCCCUGAAACGUGGAAUUAAGUUUCGAAUACAACUUUCCUUCCCUCUUAACAACGAUAUUAUUCAUGUCUACAUUUAUUGCAAGCAUUUACCUAGAAGAUAAGGCCUAUUUCCUCCAAUAAGGCAGUUUUUACUCUCUCCUGGGCUCCCCUGCCCAUAAGUGAGUGGGCCCCGUGGAUCUGCCUCCCGCAUGGUCCUCCCGGAGCUCCACUUGUUUCCAGCCUUGCUGCCAAGUCCUGUCAACCUCCCUCCACCUGUCACUGAACCUCCGCAGCAGCCUCCCGCUUCCUCCUCUCUCGCCCUGCAUACAGCCCACUGUGGCCGGAGGGAGCCAUGUGAACCGCAUGUCAGAACACACCUCUUCCUGCUCAAGGCCUUUUGAGGCUCACAGACUGUAAUCAAAAUGAAGUCAGAAUGUUUUAAGUGCCUUUUAUGGUCAGCCCUGUGAUCUACAGCGGG
RNAcentral lists this long non-coding RNA (958 nucleotides) under Homo sapiens (human). RNAcentral describes it as "HSALNT0022948". Lineage: Eukaryota; Metazoa; Chordata; Mammalia; Primates; Hominidae. The record is from RNAcentral.